GGAAUGUGCAAACGUUAUUCGGAAUCACUGGGCUUAAAGAGUCCGUAGGCGGCUUGUUAGGUGAGGUGUGAAAUCCCUCGGCUCAACCGAGGAAUUGCGCUUCAAACCGGCAAGCUUGAGGAGGAUAGAGGUGGGCGGAACUGAUGGUGGAGCGGUGAAAUGCGUUGAUAUCAUCAGGAACACCGGAGGCGAAGGCGGUCCACUGGGUCCUUUCUGACGCUGAAGGACGAAAGCUAGGGGAGCGAACGGGAUUAGAUACCCCGGUAGUCCUAGCCUUAAACGAUGAGCACUAGACCGAAGAACCUCCACGGUUUUUUGGUCGUAGCGAAAGUGUUAAGUGCUCCGCCUGGGGAGUAUGGUCGCAAGGCUG
Molecule: ribosomal RNA, 370 nt
Filed under: uncultured bacterium
Lineage: Bacteria
Description: bacterial SSU rRNA
Rfam family: Bacterial small subunit ribosomal RNA
Source: RNAcentral